This 82-nucleotide transfer RNA is filed under the name Schizosaccharomyces japonicus yFS275. Its description in RNAcentral is "tRNA-Ser (TGA) (tRNA-Ser-TGA-6-1)". It matches the Rfam family "tRNA". Rfam says of the family: Transfer RNA (tRNA) molecules are approximately 80 nucleotides in length. Their secondary structure includes four short double-helical elements and three loops (D, anti-codon, and T loops). The record is from RNAcentral. Lineage: Eukaryota; Fungi; Ascomycota; Schizosaccharomycetes; Schizosaccharomycetales; Schizosaccharomycetaceae.
GUCACUAUGUUCGAGCGGUUAAGGAGUUAGACUUGAAAUCUAAUGGGCUAUGCCCGCGCAGGUUCAAGUCCUGCUGGUGACG